GGCUCUGUGGCGCAAUGGAUAGCGCGUUGGACUUCUAAUUCAAAGGUUGUGGGUUCGAGUCCCACCACAGUCGA
Molecule: non-coding RNA, 74 nt
Organism: Merluccius polli (Benguela hake)
Lineage: Eukaryota; Metazoa; Chordata; Actinopteri; Gadiformes; Merlucciidae
Source: the annotation of a GenBank genome assembly